This 70-nucleotide transfer RNA is filed under the name Felis catus (domestic cat). It matches the Rfam family "tRNA", at positions 8 to 63 of the family's 71-position model. From Rfam's summary of the family: Transfer RNA (tRNA) molecules are approximately 80 nucleotides in length. The record is from Rfam by way of RNAcentral. Lineage: Eukaryota; Metazoa; Chordata; Mammalia; Carnivora; Felidae.
UGGCUCAGUUGGUUGAGUGUCUGACUUCAGCUCAGGUCAUGAUCUCAUGGUUUGUGGGUUCGAGCCCCAC